Molecule: unclassified non-coding RNA, 379 nt
Filed under: uncultured Micrococcaceae bacterium
Lineage: Bacteria; Bacillati; Actinomycetota; Actinomycetes; Micrococcales; Micrococcaceae
Description: contains 16S-23S intergenic spacer region
Source: RNAcentral
UCCGAGUUGACCCCGGCAGUCUCCCAUGAGUCCCCGCCAUUACGCGCUGGCAACAUGGAACGAGGGUUGCGCUCGUUGCGGGACUUAACCCAACAUCUCACGACACGAGCUGACGACAACCAUGCACCACCUGUAAACCGACCACAAGUGGGGCGCCUGUUUCCAGACGUUUCCGGUUCAUGUCAAGCCUUGGUAAGGUUCUUCGCGUUGCAUCGAAUUAAUCCGCAUGCUCCGCCGCUUGUGCGGGCCCCCGUCAAUUCCUUUGAGUUUUAGCCUUGCGGCCGUACUCCCCAGGCGGGGCACUUAAUGCGUUAGCUACGGCGCGGAAAACGUGGAAUGUCCCCCACACCUAGUGCCCAACGUUUACGGCAUGGACUAC